GACGAACGCUGGCGGCGUGCCUAAUACAUGCAAGUAGAACGCUGAAGGAGGAGCUUGCUUCUCUGGAUGAGUUGCGAACGGGUGAGUAACGCGUAGGUAACCUGCCUGGUAGCGGGGGAUAACUAUUGGAAACGAUAGCUAAUACCGCAUAACAUUGACUAUUGCAUGAUAGUCAGUUAAAAGGUGCAAUUGCACCACUACCAGAUGGACCUGCGUUGUAUUAGCUAGUUGGUGGGGUAACGGCUCACCAAGGCGACGAUACAUAGCCGACCUGAGAGGGUGAUCGGCCACACUGGGACUGAGACACGGCCCAGACUCCUACGGGAGGCAGCAGUAGGGAAUCUUCGGCAAUGGACGGAAGUCUGACCGAGCAACGCCGCGUGAGUGAAGAAGGUUUUCGGAUCGUAAAGCUCUGUUGUAAGAGAAGAACGAGUGUGAGAGUGGAAAGUUC
RNAcentral lists this ribosomal RNA (451 nucleotides) under Streptococcus sp. oral taxon 058. RNAcentral's name for it is "bacterial SSU rRNA". It matches the Rfam family "Bacterial small subunit ribosomal RNA", at positions 28 to 465 of the family's 1533-position model. Lineage: Bacteria; Bacillati; Bacillota; Bacilli; Lactobacillales; Streptococcaceae. The record is from RNAcentral.